Molecule: signal recognition particle RNA, 100 nt
Filed under: Chloroflexota bacterium
Lineage: Bacteria; Bacillati; Chloroflexota
Description: Chloroflexi bacterium (sediment metagenome) signal recognition particle sRNA small type
Rfam family: Bacterial small signal recognition particle RNA
About the family: The signal recognition particle (SRP) is a universally conserved ribonucleoprotein involved in the co-translational targeting of proteins to membranes. Archaeal SRP consists of a 7S RNA and homologues of the eukaryotic SRP19 and SRP54 proteins. In most bacteria, the SRP consists of a 4.5S RNA and the Ffh protein (a homologue of the eukaryotic SRP54 protein).
Source: RNAcentral
GGGUGGGACCGGCGCGGCAGAACCCCCCGAACCCCGUCAGGUCCGAGAGGAAGCAGCGGUAAGGAGGCAAGUCUGGGUGCCGCCGGCAAACCUGCCCGGA